This 118-nucleotide ribosomal RNA is filed under the name Omophoita sexnotata. The record is from RNAcentral. Lineage: Eukaryota; Metazoa; Arthropoda; Insecta; Coleoptera; Chrysomelidae.
UUACGGCCAUACCAGCCUGACCCCCGAUCUCGUCCGAUCUCAGAAGCCAAGCAAGGUCGGGCCUGGUCAGUACCUGGAUGGGAGACUGCCUGGGAAUCCCAGGUGCUGUAAGCCUUUU